This 224-nucleotide unclassified non-coding RNA is filed under the name Hevea brasiliensis (rubber tree). The record is from RNAcentral. Lineage: Eukaryota; Viridiplantae; Streptophyta; Magnoliopsida; Malpighiales; Euphorbiaceae.
GAAGUGAUGGAGAAAUAUGAUUCUAAUAUCAGCAACAUUCAGAAUUUGCGAGUUCAAGCUUGGGCACCUCCAAGAUAUUACCUGGAAGAGGUUUAUCCUGUCUUAUUUAAGCAGCGGGUUGUUCGUAUUUCCCCCUUUGCUAAUAGAUUGUCAAUGCAUCUUCCAUCUCAUCUUCAGUUCCUGAGAUGCUUUUCUAAUUAUGAAGCUUUAAAGUUCUCUCCAGC